Molecule: ribosomal RNA, 301 nt
Filed under: uncultured bacterium
Lineage: Bacteria
Description: partial 16S ribosomal RNA
Rfam family: Bacterial small subunit ribosomal RNA
Source: RNAcentral
CAGCCGCCACGGUAAUACGAAGGGGGCUAGCGUUGUUCGGAAUUACUGGGCGUAAAGCGCACGUAGGCGGAUAUUUAAGUCAGGGGUGAAAUCCCGCAGCUCAACUGCGGAACUGCCUUUGAUACUGGGUGUCUUGAGUAUGGAAGAGGUUAGUGGAAUUGCGAGUGUAGAGGUGAAAUUCGUAGAUAUUCGCAGGAACACCAGUGGCGAAGGCGGCUAACUGGUCCAUAACUGACGCUGAGGUGCGAAAGCGUGGGGAGCAAACAGGAUUAGAGACCCGAGUAGUCCCUGUCUCUUAUAC